ACUCCUUCCGCUUCUUGCUCCGGCUUCUGCCGCCUUCCCCAAUGAAUUUCUGAAAUGAAAGGAGCCUAUUCCCUGCCUUUCCACCAGUGCAGAAUGAAAAUGAGAGCAAGGAACAGCAGAGCACAGGGUCUUGCUCUGAGUGAAUGCACCCCUCGUGCACCCGGGAGCUGAGACCUCAGCCUGCAGAAGCAGAAUCUCCGUGGUGGGAUCCAGAGCUUGUAUCUUGGCCAAGCCCUCCCAGAAGUUUCUAACAUACACUGAAGGUUCUCCUGCUUCAAGAGCCAAGAUCCUCAGGCACAAAAUCAGGCAACAGGAGUCCUGGGCUCUGCCCUUGCUUGUGGAGUUCUGGAAACGAAUGCAUUUGGAGUAGGUGAUGUUUAAUGAUCCUUUCUGUUCUCAAUUCCUGUAAUACAAAUAAACAAUAAAAUACUUACAUCUUUAUUAUUUA
This is a long non-coding RNA of Homo sapiens (human), 448 nucleotides long. RefSeq lists it as uncharacterized. The transcript has 2 exons. Lineage: Eukaryota; Metazoa; Chordata; Mammalia; Primates; Hominidae. The record is from RefSeq and is a predicted model, not a curated record.